Molecule: small RNA, 1969 nt
Filed under: Pongo abelii (Sumatran orangutan)
Lineage: Eukaryota; Metazoa; Chordata; Mammalia; Primates; Hominidae
Description: retained intron
Source: RNAcentral
AAAGAGUCGCCGGUGGCCGCUGCAGACGGAAGCCGAACGAGUGCCUCGGCGGCUGCAGGAUGGGGGACUCCAAAGUGAAAGUGGCGGUGCGGAUACGACCCAUGAACCGGCGAGAGACUGACUUGCAUACCAAAUGUGUGGUGGAUGUGGAUGCAAACAAGGUUAUUCUUAAUCCUGUAAAUACGAAUCUUUCCAAAGGAGAUGCCCGGUGUUUGCAUAUGAUCAUUGUUUCUGGUCUAUGGAUGAAUCUGUCAAAGAAAAGUAUGCAGGUAAUAGAAUCCAGCAUCCUGUCAACUACUGAUGGUAUAGAAGAGGUGUUCAGUAUUUUUUCCUUUACACGAUUGCUUGGCAAACCCCACAAACUGUGUGUUUCCUCUGCUGUCACACACAAUAACAGUCAUCAACACAGAAGAUGACUUAAUGUGACCAAAUGUUGGGGGGGUUUUCCCUGCACCCCAAGCAGCAGACACUGGCUGGGCGUCCUCUAACUCAGUUCCGAUGCUCUCUACCUGGGGACAGCGUCAGCUCCACAGACUGAGGGCUCAGUCCCACAAGACCACUCCCUCCUUCCCACCAGCGCAGGUCCAGGCCUCUAGAACUUCUGACCUACUGGCUUCCAAUUAGGGUUCGCACAACCUUCUCUUUGGGUUUGAUUAAUUUCCUAGAGCGGCUCACAGAACUCAGGGAAACACUCGUGUUUAGGGGUUUAUUACGAGGGAUUUUCUUUAAAGGACACAGGUAAACAGCCAGAUGAAGAGAUACAGAGGGUGAGGUCUGGAAGGGUCCCAAGCACAGGAGCUUCUGUCCUCAUGGAGGUGGCGUGGCGCCCCCGCGGCGUGUGGAUGAGUUCUUACCUGCCUGUUGGGCCCUGUGUGUUUAGCAAUCCAGAAGCUCUCUGAACCCUGUCCUUUUAGGUUUUUAUGGAGGCUUCCUUAUAUAGACAUGAUUGUCAACCGAUUAGAAAUGUGAUUGGACAAAAAGCACAUGAUCUGAACACAGCGCGUCCUGUCUGUUCAGACUUUUCUUGGCCAUUCUGUGUAGCAUUCUUUCCUUUAGGAUAUGAGGCAAGACCUCAUGGAAUGAGAAGCUCUUGACCCACAAUCAGAUGAGAGUCUUGCCUCGGGCAGGUAAAAGGAGGGCAGGAGAUCAGAUAGUUUCCUGAGGCCUAAAGUGCCCCAACGAUAUAAAAGACUGCAGCAAGGGUUAAUGAGCCGGGGGAACUGUGGAUGGUAACCUACAUCUAUAUAAUUACCAUAGGGUAUAUAUGAGUACCAUAGGAUUAUUUUGCACAACUGUAGAAAGUACAGACAACACCCUCCCGUGUUUGCUAUUAGAGUUUUUAAUGUUGAUUGGAAAAUGGGAGAUUCACUGUGUGCCAUUCUUGGUAUACGUUGAUGAAAUUACAUGACUAGCACACACAGUGGCUAUUGCACGCUCACACACCCCAGCUCUUACAUGAGGCCGGAAGCACAAGGUCGCCCCUUAGAUUGCCCUGGAGGCCUGAGACUGGGCUGGAGAGACAAGAUGGCAUAGUGAAAGAAGGGGAGCACCAGCCAAGGAGAAAAGGAACCCUAGGCUGCAGGCCCAGCCCUGCUCCUUACCGCCUCUGCGCCUUUCAGUAAAUCACCUCACCUGUCAGAGCUUCAGUUUUCUCUUUUUGAUGGAGAGGAAUAUACGAUAUUCUCUCUAAAUUUUCUUUUGGCUCUGGAAGUCUGUUACUCCAUUAUUCUUCUAAAUGAUGACUGUCUCAAGCCCCAUCUCACCACAAGUUUAGGACUACAGUGACAGCCUUUGAUUGGCUUUAUUCCUUACUGCUUUUGUCACCUGUUUUUAAACAAUCUCUUUUAAAUAUUAAGCAUCAUAUUGUUUUGGCUUCUGUUAUGAGAAAGAUGAAUAUUAUGGCUGUUUUGAAGUUAAGAUUCAUUUGGUCUAGGUGGCCCAAUAUCAGAAGUAUAAGUUAACUGGUAUU